Molecule: ribosomal RNA, 880 nt
Filed under: uncultured bacterium
Lineage: Bacteria
Description: bacterial SSU rRNA
Rfam family: Bacterial small subunit ribosomal RNA
Source: RNAcentral
UGCNAGUCGUACGAGAGUUUUUAACUCAAGUGGCGGACGGGUGAGUAACACGUAAGAAUUUGCCUUUAGGAGGGGGACAACAAUUAGAAAUGAUUGCUAAUACCCCAUAUGCUUUCGAGUGAAAUGGAUUUUUCCGCCUAGAGAGAAGCUUGCGGCUGAUUAGCUUGUUGGUGAGGUAAUGGCUCACCAAGGCGACGAUCAGUAUCUGGUUUGAGAGGACGAUCAGACACACUGGAACUGAGACACGGUCCAGACUCCUACGGGAGGCAGCAGUGGGGAAUUUUCCGCAAUGGGCGAAAGCCUGACGGAGCAAUACCGCGUGAGGGAUGACGGCCUAUGGGUUGUAAACCUCUUUUUUCAGGGAGGAAUCAAUGACGUGUACCUGAAGAAUAAGCAUCGGCUAACUCCGUGCCAGCAGCCGCGGUAAGACGGAGGAUGCAAGUGUUAUCCGGAAUCACUGGGCGUAAAGCGUCUGUAGGUGGUCCAAUAAGUCAACUGUUAAAUCUUGAGGCUCAACCUCAAAAUCGCAGUCGAAACUAUUAGGCUAGAGUAUAGUAGGGGUAAAGGGAAUUUCCAGUGGAGCGGUGAAAUGCGUAGAGAUUAGAAAGAACACCGAUGGCGAANGCACUUUACUGGGCUAUUACUAACACUCAGAGACGAAAGCUAGGGUAGCAAAUGGGAUUAGAUACCCCAGUAGUCCUAGCCGUAAACAAUGGAUACUAGAUGUUGACCAGAUCGACCUGUGCAGUAUCAAAGCUAACGCGUUAAGUAUCCCGCCUGGGAAGUAUGCUCGCAAGANUGAAACUCAAAGGAAUUGANNNGGGCCCGCACAAGCGGUGGANCAUGUGGUUUAAUUCGAUGCNNCGCNAANANCCUUANC